Molecule: long non-coding RNA, 1111 nt
Filed under: Vombatus ursinus (common wombat)
Lineage: Eukaryota; Metazoa; Chordata; Mammalia; Diprotodontia; Vombatidae
Description: lncRNA (ENSVURG00010012771.1)
Source: RNAcentral
AGAAACAGAGAGAGACUGAGACUGACUGACUGUACCUAAUCAUUUCCAUGGUUUCUUUCCUGUUAGACUGUGAGCUCCUCGUGGGCAGGGGCUGUGCUGGCCUUUCUUUGUGUCUGUAGUGAUCAACCCAGUGCCUGGUACCUAGGAGAAGCUUGAUAAGCACUUGGGGCUGGGGGUACAAAGACUAGCAGUACAGCCUCUGCCCACCAGGAGCUUACAUUCUCUCAGGGAGAAUACUACAGAGCACAUCACAUACAAAACAUACAGACGGUUCCUGGGAGGACACCAGCAGCUGGCAGGCUGGGGAAGGAGGAAACGUGGCGUUCUGGAAGGCAUUCCAAGGAUGGCGCCCAGGUAAGAGAGGAGGAAACAAACCCAGAGGGCCAAGAACAAGAAAGGCAGAGAAUUGGCACAAAGACCAUUGUUAUCUUCACAAUGCUGCUCUAAACUUUAGACCCUCUUCAGGUCUUGUCAUUAUCUGUGGCCAGUGAGGCCUCCCCAUUCUAGGGACCAGCCCCACCAAAGUAUAACCACCACCUCCCGGGGGCACCCAUUCCCUGCUGUUUAGAGUGUCCAUUAGGAAAGAUCAGAAAUGUUGGAUUUUUCCCAUGUUUCCCAUGAGGAAAACUGAGGGUUAAGGAAUACAUCCAGCAUCACACCUAGGAAAGCUUGGGACCCUCAGACAUUCACAGGAUCACAGACUCAGGGCUAGGAGGAACCUCGGAGAGCACCUGGUGGAAACUGAGGCUUUGACGGUGUGAACCCCUCCCCCAAGCAUGUUGGACCCUCAAGACCCGAGAAAGGCCUAAGACCUCGAUUGGCCAAUCAGGAGAGACAUUUUUGGCCCUCUUUGAGCUUAAUCUACCAUAAUGCCCUGCGUGCUCUGGAGUAACAGAUAUGCUUUGCUUUGCUCUCUCAGUGAAUCCAAAUGCCCCCUGCUGUGUCAGCAACUACAAAGCCGGAUGAAGCUGACCAUGAGCCUUCUUCUGUUUAUGAAUGCCAAGGACAAGGCGCCUUGAACUAGACACCAUCUUAAAUAAUGGGACUUUUCUUAGGUUAGGUUAUGUUAUGUUAAUGAUGGAAGAAACACAGAUAUCUUGGAUCUAUAAUU